Molecule: ribosomal RNA, 223 nt
Filed under: uncultured bacterium
Lineage: Bacteria
Description: partial 16S ribosomal RNA
Rfam family: Bacterial small subunit ribosomal RNA
Source: RNAcentral
GGGGGCUGCGUAAGUCCGAGGUGAAAGCCCGUUGCUCAACAACGGAACUGCCUUGGAUACUGCAUAGCUUGAGUACAGACGAGGUUGGCGGAAUGGACCGAGUAGCGGUGAAAUGCAUAGAUACGGUCCAGAACCCCGAUUGCGAAGGCAGCUGACUAGGCUGUUACUGACGCUGAGGCACGACAGCGUGGGGAGCGAACAGGAUUAGAUACCCGAGUAGUCC